This 369-nucleotide ribosomal RNA is filed under the name uncultured bacterium. RNAcentral describes it as "bacterial SSU rRNA". It matches the Rfam family "Bacterial small subunit ribosomal RNA", at positions 525 to 896 of the family's 1533-position model. The record is from RNAcentral.
ACGGAGGAUGCAAGCGUUAUCCGGAUUUAUUGGGUUUAAAGGGUCCGUAGGCGGAUCUUUAAGUCAGUGGUGAAAGCCCACAGCUCAACUGUGGAACUGCCAUUGAUACUGGAGAUCUUGAGUGUAGUAGAAGUAGGCGGAAUAGGGCAUGUAGCGGUGAAAUGCAUAGAUAUGCCCUAGAACACCGAUUGCGAAGGCAGCUUACUAUGUUACAACUGACGCUGAGGGACGAAAGCGUGGGGAGCAAACAGGAUUAGAUACCCUGGUAGUCCACGCUGUAAACGAUGAUUACUCGCUGUUGGCGACAUACAGUCAGCGGCCAAGCGAAAGCAUUAAGUAAUCCACCUGGGGAGUACGCCGGCAACGGUG